CCAAUAGUAUGUGUCUGCAGAGCCGGAGAGCCCUGCAGCUGCAGUUUUACACGCUGCAGUUCUACACGUGUUAGCGCCCCUGCUGGUAGGUCAGUGCUAAUGCAGAUGCUGCAGUUCUACACGUGAUAGCGCCCCAUGCUGGUAGGUCAGUGCUAAUGCAGGUGCUGCAGUUCAGUAAUUGGACUUCUUUACAUGGAUAAAAUGUGUUAUUUUGCUGAAAAAAAAGAAAAGAAAAAAAACGGAAUAUGAGCUGACAGUCAAUAUUUAAGGUUUGGUUAACCCAAAACACCUUGUAGAAUUUAGGUUUAUUCCAUCCAAAACAGUUAGGAGUAAUCUAAUU
Xyrichtys novacula (pearly razorfish) is the source of this 340-nucleotide non-coding RNA. NCBI's taxonomy places the organism in Eukaryota, Metazoa, Chordata, Actinopteri, Labriformes, Labridae. The record is from the annotation of a GenBank genome assembly.